CAGCCGCCGCGGUAAUACGUAGGGUGCGAGCGUUAAUCGGAUUUACUGGGCGUAAAGCGUGCGCAGGCGGCCCGUUAAGACAGGUGUGAAAUCCCUGGGCUCAACCUAGGAAUUGCGCUUGUGACUGGCGGGCUCGAGUACGGUAGAGGGGGGUGGAAUUCCUGGUGUAGCAGUGAAAUGCGUAGAGAUCAGGAGGAACACCGAUGGCGAAGGCAGCCCCCUGGGCCUGUACUGACGCUCAUGCACGAAAGCGGGGGGAGCAAACAGGAUUAGAUACCCGGGUAGUCCACGCCCUAAACGAUGGGUACUAGCCGUUUGGUGCGCGAUAGCGCUGAGUGGCGAAGCUAACGCGUGAAGUCCCCCGCCUGGGGAGUACGGCCGCAAGGUUGAAACUUAAAGGAAUUGGCGGG
This 410-nucleotide ribosomal RNA is filed under the name uncultured microorganism. RNAcentral's name for it is "bacterial SSU rRNA". It matches the Rfam family "Bacterial small subunit ribosomal RNA", at positions 509 to 917 of the family's 1533-position model. The record is from RNAcentral.